RNAcentral lists this unclassified non-coding RNA (253 nucleotides) under uncultured Cellvibrionales bacterium. RNAcentral's name for it is "contains 16S-23S intergenic spacer region". It matches the Rfam family "Bacterial small subunit ribosomal RNA", at positions 524 to 776 of the family's 1533-position model. Lineage: Bacteria; Pseudomonadati; Pseudomonadota; Gammaproteobacteria; Cellvibrionales. The record is from RNAcentral.
UACGGAGGGUGCAAGCGUUAAUCGGAAUUACUGGGCGUAAAGCGCGCGUAGGCGGUUGUUUAAGCUGGAUGUGAAAGCCCAGGGCUCAACCUUGGAACUGCAUUCAGAACUGGGCGACUAGAGUACGAGAGAGGGUAGUGGAAUUUCCUGUGUAGCGGUGAAAUGCGUAGAUAUAGGAAGGAACAUCAGUGGCGAAGGCGACUGCCUGGCUCGAUACUGACGCUGAGGUGCGAAAGCGUGGGGAGCAAACAGG